AAGAUUUACCAUCUUGAUCAUUUUUUUUUCCUUGACACAGAGUUUUACUUUGUCGCCCAGGCUGGAGUGCAGUGGCGAGAUCAUGGCUCACGUCAACCUCUGCUUCCCCAGCUCAAGAGAUUCUCCUGCCUCAGCCUCCGGAAUAGCUGGGACUACAGGAAAAGACUGCAGACCAGGAAAUGCAGGUUUCAGACUAGGAGAAGAUUCUGCAAAUCAUGUGGUGGAGAGAAAGCUGUGUUUCCUGGGGGGUUAGCUGCAGCUCCAGUGACCAUACCCCAGGGUCAAGUCACAAAACUCCCCAGGAUCAAUGUUGAACUGUGUCCAGGAAGGAGCAAGAAAUGAAGAGUGUGGCCGGGCGCGGUGGCUCACGCUUGUAAUUUCAGCACUUUGGGAGGCUGAGGCGGGCGGAUCCCGAAUUCAAGAGAUUGAGACUGUCCUGGCUAACACAGUGAAACCCUGUCUCUACUAAAAAUACAAAAAAUUAGCCAGGCGUGGUGGCACACGCCUGCAGUCCCAGCUACUCGGAGGCUGAGGCAGGAGAAUGGCAUGAACCUGGGAGGUGGAGCUUGCAGUGAGCCAAGAUUGCACCACUGCACUCCAACCUGGGCAACAACAAUGAAGCUCCGUCUCAAAAAAAAAAAAAAGAAAGAAAGAAAGAAAAAGAAAAUAAAUGAAGAGUGGGGGAAGGAAGACUGCGGACUGAGGAGAAGCCUGGCUUCUCAGAGAGUGGGAGAGGCUCUGUCUUGGCUCAUCUUCAUUUCACCAGAGACUAAUCUAAGAAGACUUUAUGAGGCAUUACCAACAACAGAAGAAGUAAGUCUGAAGAUCUCAAACCUUCAUCGACUGCUCAAAAGUCCCAAAGUGUCAUUGCAGGACUAUUCACAAGAGCAAAGAUGCAGAACCAAUCCAGGAGUUCAUCAACAGUGGAUUGGAUAAGGAAAAUGUGGUACGUAUACACCAUGGAAUACUAUACAGCCACAAAAAAAGAACUAAAUCAUGUUCUUUGCAGCAACAUGGAUGCAGCUGGAGGCCAUUACCCUAAAGGAAUUAACCCAAGAACAGAAAAACAAACACCACCCACGUGUUCUCACUUAUAAAUAGGAGCUAAGUGUUGGUCACACAUGGGCAUAAAGAUGUGAACACUAGACACUGGGGACUCCUAGAGGAGGAGAGGGAGGAAGGGGAGCAAGGGCUUAAAAACUACCUCCUGGGUACUAUGCUCAGUACCUGGGUGAUGGGAUCAAUUGCACCCCAAACAUCAGCAUCAUGGAAAUAUAUCAAACCUGCACAUGUACAC
Molecule: long non-coding RNA, 1297 nt
Filed under: Piliocolobus tephrosceles (Ugandan red Colobus)
Lineage: Eukaryota; Metazoa; Chordata; Mammalia; Primates; Cercopithecidae
Description: lncRNA (ENSPTEG00000027463.1)
Source: RNAcentral